UACGGGGGGGGUAAGCGUUGUUCGGAAUUACUGGGCGUAAAGGGCUCGUAGGCGGCCAACUAAGUCGGACGUGAAAUCCCUCAGCUUAACUGGGGAACUGCGUCCGAUACUGGAUGGCUUGGAUUUGGGAGAGGGAUGCGGAAUUCCAGGUGUAGCGGUGAAAUGCGUAGAUAUCUGGAGGAACACCCGGUAGGCGAAGGCGGCACCUGUCGGCGAA
RNAcentral lists this ribosomal RNA (217 nucleotides) under uncultured bacterium. RNAcentral describes it as "partial 16S ribosomal RNA". It matches the Rfam family "Bacterial small subunit ribosomal RNA", at positions 524 to 738 of the family's 1533-position model. The record is from RNAcentral.